Priapulus caudatus is the source of this 1414-nucleotide long non-coding RNA. RefSeq lists it as uncharacterized. The transcript is spliced from 3 exons. The record is from RefSeq and is a predicted model, not a curated record. Lineage: Eukaryota; Metazoa; Priapulida; Priapulimorpha; Priapulimorphida; Priapulidae.
UCUUCAUACAGGAGCUGCAGUUGUUGCUGCCAUGGUUUCUCUAUAAACAUUGUAAAGACCCUUUCUGAGUACACUGUACAUUAAACCGUGGCGUGCGACGACUGCACAUCUUGGUUCCACGCCGGAUUUAUGAAGAUGGCAUAGGCUGUUAUUUUGCUUUCAUCCCAUCAGAUGUGUCAAGGCUCUGCUGUGGCUGAAGGGUACCUAACUUUGCCAUUCAACAUCAGUGUUUUCACCUUUCCCAAUCUCCGUUGGAUCAGUCGGGACUCAUCGCUUGAUACUUCCCAUAUCACCAUUGGUUAGGAAGACUCGUGUGUUGGGUGGACAGGUAUGGAGCAAGGCAUAUCAGAGAGAGACGAGGAAUAAUUGGUGCCAAGGUGCUAGUGUAACGAGGAAGAUGACGUUACCCGUUUCAAAGUAGAUUUGUUGAGAGGAGUCCAGGACAGGAGAGGAGACCCAAAGACAGGACAAGAUGCCCAGGACAGCAGAGGACAGGAGUGGAGCACCAACUACCAUUCAUUAAGAAGCUACAUAACACUGCCACUCCUGAGUACUAGCAUGUGCCAGCCCACUUAUGUACUAGGUUUUCGUCAAGCUGACAGAAGUUGUAAGUGUGUAAAUCAUUGAUGCUAGAACUGUUGUAUAAAUGCACAUGUAUUGUUAACAUGAAGUUGUCUAGCUACCGUGUUUACAUCGUUACUCAAAUGCAAAGUCGUGUUUUUCAUUGAGUUUGGUUUUUAGACUUCAGCUAUUCAGUAAUCGAAAUAGUGUAACAGAUUUUUUAGUGACAAAUUCUGAACAUAUGUUACUCAUGGCAGUGGCAGUGGCAGUGGCAGUUGAUAAAUGUUUUUAAUUGAUUGAUCAGUAACAAUAAGCCAGUUUUGCUUGGUAACCCCAUUUAUUAGUCAGGUCACAGGUUUCAGUCAUAGCUUUUAGUUGUUAUAAAACAUAUAAUUUCACAAAAUUGAAGCUCAAACUGCAUGGCAGCUGAAUGGUCAAUAACUUUAUUAUAUUUUGCGUAGUACAGUAGGGCCAGCAGCGUAUAACCAUACAUAGAUAAUAGCAACUCUGUACCUUAGGUAGUGAUGCACCGGCCGCGGAUGUGGGCACCGCCCCUACAUUAAGCAUUCAAUAUAGGGCUAGCACCAUCGUGUCAAUCACCAUCGCGCAGGCCGCGCGCUUCCUCCCUUUAGGAAUCAGGUUCAGAGGGUGGGUCAGGAUCGGUUUACGUUCGCGUGUGCCAGGGGGGUGAGACAACACCUUGGCUGGUCAGAGCAUGGGAAAUCACACCUCCCCCCUCCCAAGAGCGUGGGAGUUAGGGUUGGGGUGUCCGGCUCGCAGGUUUACCCUGGCACAAUCACAUCAUAUAUUUUUUAUUUUUUUAUUUUGCAUCUACUCGACUAUAAAUGCAAAA